This 28-nucleotide non-coding RNA is filed under the name Cricetulus griseus (Chinese hamster). The record is from RNAcentral. Lineage: Eukaryota; Metazoa; Chordata; Mammalia; Rodentia; Cricetidae.
UUGUGCUGGCAUCUGAAGAAUCAGAAGG